This is a non-coding RNA of Schistosoma rodhaini, 48 nucleotides long. The record is from Rfam. NCBI's taxonomy places the organism in Eukaryota, Metazoa, Platyhelminthes, Trematoda, Strigeidida, Schistosomatidae.
AUCCAUUUGACGAGUCUCAAAUAGGACGAAAAGCUCGUCAAACUGGAU